GGGGAUGUGGCGGAAUGGUAUACGCGCUCGACUCAAAAUCGAGUGGUUAACAGCCUUGUGGGUUCGAGUCCCUCCAUCCCUA
Molecule: transfer RNA, 82 nt
Filed under: Deltaproteobacteria bacterium
Lineage: Bacteria; Pseudomonadati; Myxococcota; Myxococcia
Also listed under: 1 other name
Description: tRNA-Leu
Rfam family: tRNA
About the family: Transfer RNA (tRNA) molecules are approximately 80 nucleotides in length. Their secondary structure includes four short double-helical elements and three loops (D, anti-codon, and T loops). Further hydrogen bonds mediate the characteristic L-shaped molecular structure. tRNAs have two regions of fundamental functional importance: the anti-codon, which is responsible for specific mRNA codon recognition, and the 3' end, to which the tRNAs corresponding amino acid is attached (by aminoacyl-tRNA synthetases). tRNAs cope with the degeneracy of the genetic code in two manners: having more than one tRNA (with a specific anti-codon) for a particular amino acid; and 'wobble' base-pairing, i.e. permitting non-standard base-pairing at the 3rd anti-codon position.
Source: RNAcentral